Molecule: long non-coding RNA, 785 nt
Organism: Artibeus jamaicensis (Jamaican fruit-eating bat)
Lineage: Eukaryota; Metazoa; Chordata; Mammalia; Chiroptera; Phyllostomidae
Exons: 3
Source: RefSeq, a predicted model, not a curated record
AGGUCACAGUCCUCUCCCCAGGGAAGGCUCUUCUCAUUUCAGACACCUGCUGUCUGAGCUUUGGGGUUCUGACCACCUCGGUACAAAUUCAGCGGUUUCCUGUACCCUGUUAGGUUCAGUGGUUUCCUGUACCCUGUUAGGUUCAGUGGUUUGCUGUAAUGACUCAGAAUUUAGCAUAGUACUAUACUCAUGAUUACAGUUUUAUUACAACAGAUAGAAGGCAGGACUGGCAAAUGAGGAGACACGUAGAGUGAGGUCUGGAGGCCCCAGCAUGAGGAGCGUUCACGACCUCAGGACGCGUCACCCUCCUGGCACGUGGACGAAUGAUUGCCAGCCAGUCAGGCUCACUUUGGAAUGUCCCUCAGUUUGGAUUUGUCAGAUGUUUUUCUCAUGAUUAAAUCGGGGCUGUGAAGACCACAGAGGUGUGUCUUAUGGUCCUGUGUGUCUUACAGUUCUAAAAAUACGGUAGGUGCCAUUCUUCUCACCUCACAUCAAGGAUACAUAACCCUCAUGACUUCUGUGGAUGUUGACCUUAAUCAUCCGGGACAGUAUCUACCAGCCUUCUCCACUGUAAAGUCACCCUCUUCCUUUCACGUUGUACUUUUUGGAAAGAAGUUAUCAGACAUGCACAUUCUUAAGGAACGGGGAGUUAUUCUCCACCGUACCUCCAGCAUGGAGGAAGAUAGAGGUAUUUUUGAUAGAAAGAGAAAAGACUUGAAAUGUGCAGAGGAGAAGUGGGGGGAGAAAGAGAAGGAGAGAAACAACCAAGUGUGGUUGCCUGUCAC